RNAcentral lists this ribosomal RNA (364 nucleotides) under uncultured rumen bacterium. Its description in RNAcentral is "partial 16S ribosomal RNA". The record is from RNAcentral.
UAUUCCCCACUGCUGCCUCCCGUAGGAGUCUGGGCCGUGUCUCAGUCCCAAUGUGGCCGUUCACCCUCUCAGGCCGGCUACUGAUCGUCGCCUUGGUGAGCUAUUACCUCACCAACUAGCUAAUCAGACGCGGGACCAUCCUGUACCACCGGAGUUUUUCACACGGUAAGAUGUCUUACUGUGCGCUUAUGCGGUAUUAUCAGUCGUUUCCAACUGCUAUCCCCCGGUACAGGGCAGGUUUCCCACGCGUUACUCACCCGUCCGCCACUCAGUCAUCAAUUCGUCACCCCGAAGGGAUCGUGUAAAGAUGCUUCGUUCGACUUGCAUGUGUUAAGCACGCCGCCAGCGUUCAUCCUGAGCCAAA